GCAGCAGGAAGAACAGGCGUGUUCACAGAGGCCGAGUUCCUGUUCUCAGAUCACACAGGAACUAUUCAGACACUUCCCACUGUGUCAGGAUGAAGGUGAAGAUCUUCUGCUGCCUGUUAGCCUGCACUCUGGGCUCUAAUGUCACUGCAGGUUUAACCCAUGAAGGACUUAAGGAGGGGACACAGGUCAGUCUGCGCUGUCCUCACUCUGUGGAGGGUAAAGUGAGGUGGAGCAGAGAGAGUGGAGGAAGCAGAGCUGACAUACUUACAGCUGAUGGAGACGGAAAUAUAAAACACAUCAAUGAUCCACAGAAACGAUACAGUUCACUGGCUGAUCGAUCUCUGAUGAUCCUCAGAGCUGCUCUCUCAGACUCUGGCAGAUACUUCUGUAACCAUGAAGCAGCUGUGGAGCUGACAGUGAUCCCAUCAGGAACUAAAAUAGUGAGUGUUGCAGAGAGGAGCAGCAUCACUCUGAACUGUUCUCAUGAUGUUGGAGGAUCAGCUGUUCCCACAUGGAGACGAGACUCUGGAGAAAUAAAUGAAGGAAGGAUUUCUGUUUCCACUGAGGACAAAACAUUAAGUAUAAGAGAAGCUGAGCCUGCUGACUCUGGACUGUACUACUGUGAUGGAAAACCAGCUGUUUAUCUGAAUGUGACCAAAGGACAGAGAUCUGACAGAGGUGAGACACAUGAACCCAAAAAUAACACAGAAAGGUUUUUGUAGAGUUUCCAACAAACUUUAAUCUAAGAAAAUCUUCCUGCUGGAUUAUUCCUACCAUACAGACAUGAGAGUGGUGUCAGUGUUUUACCUAAAUGUGGACUCACACUGAGCAUGGAGGCCGAGUAGUGUCCCCAUUAAAUUCUGUCUAAUUUAAUAAAAUGCAUUCACAGCUUCUAUCACAGAUGAACUACAAAUCUAAAACACAAACAGCAGAUGUUUCCAUUUAAAUUGUGACUAAGAAGCAAAUUCUUCAUCAGACAAGCUGGAAGUUUUUGAUAGAGCAGAAAUAUCUUAAUGACCUUCAGAUGUGAUGAGAUUAUUACAAACUACAGCACAAAGAUGCUGACUGUGGGCGAGUAUCAGUCAUUCUAGGACGUUCACAAAGCUCGAGCAUUAAUAUUAUUAGUGCUGUCCUGGGAAACAAACGUCCUUUUUUCAUGCUUUCAACAUGUUAAUGACAAUAAAGAACACGUCUUUCGUUCUGUCUGUCUGUCUACUUCAUUUGUCAGAAUCUUAUGUUGUUUGUAACUCACUGACACAUCUGUGUUUCAAACUGGGCUGUCCACACCACACCCAGCCUCUGUGUCAUAACUGGUUAUAAAUACUUUGUGAGGAUGAAUCAGUAAAGUCAUAAAGGUCAACCUUCAACACAACGUUUCCAUGACAGCAUC
Oreochromis niloticus (Nile tilapia) is the source of this 1390-nucleotide long non-coding RNA. Lineage: Eukaryota; Metazoa; Chordata; Actinopteri; Cichliformes; Cichlidae. The record is from Ensembl.